Molecule: long non-coding RNA, 5051 nt
Organism: Astyanax mexicanus (Mexican tetra)
Lineage: Eukaryota; Metazoa; Chordata; Actinopteri; Characiformes; Acestrorhamphidae
Exons: 2
Source: RefSeq, a predicted model, not a curated record
AGGAAGGAAGAAUUAAAGGAUAAAAUGAAGGAAGGAAAGAGAAGGAAGGAAGACUGAAAGGAGAAAAAAAGGAAGGAAGGAAGGAAGGAAGAAAGGGAGGAAGGAAGAAAGAAAGAAUUAAAUAAUGAAAGGAGAAAAAAGGAAAGACAGAAGAUAGGAAGGAAGGAAGGAAGGAAGAAAGGGAGAAAGAAAAAAAGACUUUGGCAAAUUAGAUGAAAGCACUCUUGUUUGCACUCAGCUGAUCAGAUCGAAUUUGCCUGUCUGGACAUCACAAACGUAUCUGCAUGGGUUGCUGUGGUAACAAGGUCAGCAUCCCUAAAUAAUCUUUCAUUUCCUCGAACCCUUGAACUUGCACUGUCUUCAAUCUGAAUGUAAUGAAGAUGUUGUUUGUCUCGUUUUGAGUGAUGAAAAAGACACAUUGAAAUACAGUUUGAGUUUUUAGAGCAUCCAGACUAUCAGAAAUCAAUCUGGAUACAACCAAGAUUUCUGGCUUUUAAGACCGUCGAAAAUCAAUCUGAGUACAAUCUAAAUACACUUAAAAUCAGAUUCCAUGUUGUUUCUGGCUGUUCAAACUAUCAAAAAUCUAUCUGCAUAGAAUCUAGAUAUGCAAAAAAAAAAAAAUCUGAUUUCAUGUGAUUUAUGGCGGUUAAAUCUAUCUGGAUACAAUCUGGAUAUACCAAACCUUUGAUUUAAUGUAACUUCUGUCGUUUCAGACUGUUUAAAAUAAAGCUGUAUACCAAAAAUCUGAUUUCACAUGGUUUUGGGCUGUUCAGUCUAGCAAAAAAAUGAAUCUGGGAACAAUCCAGAUAUGCCUAAAAUCAGAUUCCAUGUUGUUGUUUUUUUUUUUUGCCGUUCAGACUAUAAGAAAUCAAUCUGGAUACAAUCGAGAUACAGGAAAAAAUCUGAUUUCACAUGGUUUCUGGCUGUUCAGAAUAUCAAACAUCAAUCUGGGAACAAUCUGGAUAUACCAAAAUCUGAUUUGAGGUGGUUUCUGGCUUUUCAGACAAUCAAAAAUCAAUCUGGAAACAAUCUAGAUAUGUCUAAAAUUAGAUUAUGUGUUUUUUUUUUUUUUUUUUUUUUUUUUUUGCUGUUCAGACUAUAAGAAGUCAAACUGGAUGCAAUCGAGAUAUGGGAAAAAAAAUCUGAUUUCACAUAGUUUAUGUCUGUUCAGAGUACAAUCUAGACAUGCCUAAAAUCAGAUUCAAUGUUUUUUUUUUGCUGUUCAGAUUAUCAAAAAUAAAUCUGGAUGCAAUCUGGUUAUACCAAUAAUCUGACUGGAUGUGAUUUCUGGCUGUCAAACUAUCAAAACUUUAUCUGGAUACAAUCUAGAUAUGAUACAAUCUGAUUUUAAUGUGGUUUCCAUCUGUUCAGACUAUCAAAAAUAAAUCUGGAUUCAAUCUGGAUAUGCCAACAGACAAAUUUCAUGCAUGUGCUUUCUGGAUGUUCAGACUAUCAAUAAUCAAGCUGGAUUCAGUCUAGUUAUGCAAAACAAAUCUGAUUUUCUGUGGGGUUUAUCUGGAUGCAACCUAGAUGUGUAAAAUAUCUGAUUUCAUGUGGUUUCUGGCUGUUCAGACUAUAAGACAUCAAUUUGGAUACAAUCUGGCCAUGCCAAAAGUAGAUUUGAUGCCAAAAAUCAACCUGAAUGUGAUUUGGACUGGCAGUUUGAACAUCUAUAAAGAUCAUAUCUACAGUAAAACAGCAGUGUUUCUCUUCAGGAUUGCGUGAAUCUGACAUGGUUGAUGACUCAGUUGUUUUGGUGUGAUCGGAUAAACAGGGUCGCAUUAAAUAUUCAUAAGGAUCCGGACUGAUUUAUAUCAGCUGGUCGAUAAUAUUGGCUGAUAUUGAUGUUCUCAGGGUUUAUCGGUGUUGGCAAAUAUUCUGCCAGUAAUGAGCUCAUAAUUAUAGACAGAUCUUGAGCUGCCGUCUCUCCGGGAAUUAAAUCAAUGGCCUCUUGAUGAUAGAGAGAAACGUUGGGACAGCUGUGCCACUGAGGAACCUGAUCUGAACCCACCAUGUUCAACUGUGUGGCAGCAGUACAAGCUGAACAGUUCUAUCAAAACACCUUUAAUUAAUUAAUGUAGCCUUGCUUUAUAACCCAGAGGCAUGAACUGAAUAUUUUUUUUUAUUUUCUGCAAAAUAAGAGCAAAAUACAUAGAAUGCAAUUAAGAAAAAAGUGACAAAAUAAAAACUUACAAAAACAAUGUUUAAGUUUCUUUAAUUUUGAUUUUAAAUAAAAUGUACAUUUCUGUUCAUCUCUAAUGUUUACACUCUUAACUGAUAGAUGACCCCUCUUCUUUGUAGUUAACCUUUGUAGGUUAAGGUUAGGGUUAGACUUAAGGUUUAGGUAAGAAUUCGAUUUAGUGUUAAAUUUAAGGUUUAGGGCUAGAUUUAAGGUUUAGGUUAAGGUUUAGGGUUACAUUUAGGCUUUAGGGCUAGAUUUAAGGUUUAGGUUAAGGUUUAGGGUUACAUUUAGGCUUUAGGGCUAGAUUUAAGGUUUAGGUUAAGGUUUAGGUUUACAUUUAGGCUUUAGGGCUAGAUUUAAGGUUUAGGUUAAGGUUUAGGGUUACAUUUAGGCUUAGGGCUAGAUUUAAGGUUUAGAUUAAGGUUUAAGGUUACAUUUAGGCUUUAGGGCUAGAUUUAAGGUUUAGAUUAAGGUUUAAGGUUACAUUUAGGCUUUAGGGCUAGAUUUAAGGUUUAGGUUAGGGUUAGGUUUACAGUUAGAUUUAAGGCUUAGGUUAAGGUUUUAGGAUUAGAUUAAAGGUUUAGGGCAAGGUUAGGCUAUGGUUAGAGUUAAGAUUAGAUGUAAGAUUUAGAGUUAAAUUUAAGGUUUAGGUUAGGGCUAGAUUUAACGUUAGAUUUAAGAUUUAGGGCUACAUUUAGGGUAUAGGUUAAGGGUUAGGUUAGGGUUACAUUUAAAGUUAGAUUUAAGAUUAAGGUUAAGGUUAGGCAUACGUUAGAUAUAAAGUUUAUUUUAGGGGUUAGGUUUUAGGGUUGAUUUAUGGUUGAGGUAAGGCUUAGGGUUAGAUUUAAGGUUUAGGGUUAAAUUUAAGGUUUAGGUUAGGGCUAGAUUUAAGGUUAGAUUUAAGGUAUAGGGCUAGAUUUAAAGUACAGGUUAGGGCUAGAUAAAAGGUUACACUUGUGAUUUAGAGAUAGAUUUAAGGCUAGGUUAGGGAUACAUUAGAUUUAAAGUUUAUUUUAAGGGUUAGGUUUUAGGGUUGAUUCUUGGUUGAGGUUAGGUUUUAGGGUUAGAUUUAAGGUUUAGGUUAAGGUUUAAGUUAGGUUCAGAUUUAACGUUUAUUUUAAGGGUUAGGUUUUAGGGUUGAUUCUUGGUUGAGGUUAGGUUUUAGGGUUAGAUUUAAGGUUUAGGUUAAGGUUUAAGUUAGGUUCAGAUUUAACGUUUAUUUUAAGGAUUAGGUUUUAGAGUUGAUUCUUGGUUGAGGUUAGGUUUUAGGGUUAGAUUUAAGGUUUAGGUUAAGGUUUAAGUUAGGUUUAGAUUUAAUGUUUAUUUUAAGGGUUAGGUUUUAGGGUUGAUUCUUGUUUGAGUUUAGGUUUUAGGGUUAGAUUUAAGGUUUAGGUUAAGGUUUCAGUUAGGUUUAGAUUUAAUGUUUAUUUUAAGGGUUAGGUUUUAGGGUUGAUUCUUGUUUGAGGUUAGGUUUUAGGGUUAGAUUUAAGGGUUAGGUUAAGGUUUAGGUUAGAUUCAAGGUUUGAUUCAAGGUUGAGGUUAGGCUUAGGGUUAGAGGUUAGAUGUAGGGUAAGGUUCUACACAGAAUCAUUACAUUCAACUUAGUUAAAUUGCCUUCAAUAGACUUUCAGUUUAAACUUACUUGAGCAUCUAUGGGGCAUCUCUACAAUAAUGAUUUAGUUCUUAAUAGUCACAAUAUCGAUAUUGUUCUUACUGUAGUUAUCUCUGCUAAAUAACAGUGUUGAUGGUUCUUCUAGAGACGGCAUGGUCUUCUGGGCAUCUGGUAUCAUCUUUGUUUUCUGUAGACGGAGAGAGGUUUUAUUGGAGGGCUAAAGGAGGAGGAACUGAAGGCAUAAAUCCUGUCCCUCUGCAGCCGGUGUUUAAGUGCACAGAAAAGUGUAGUGUUUAAGGAAGAUAUUAAAUCCCCCUGAUAGGAAAAGCUCGUCCGAGCAGAUGGGGAAAGUUGAGUAGAGGUGAAUAAAUUAUACAGCAAAUGCUGCAAAGUGGGGGUAAAGUGGGAAAGAGUACUCCCUGUGCCCCAAAAAUAGCAUGGAUAAAAAGACUGGAACUGGGUUAUAAAAUAAAAAAUUCAACGAUGGCAGUGGCGAUGAUUAUGAUGAUGAUGAUGAUAGUAGUAAUAAUAAUAAUGCUGAAAUAAUUAGCUAAAUUGAUGAAUGAAUAAGAUUAUUAUACAAUAUAUGGAUAUGACCUUAAUAUUAGCCUUUGUGUUUUCUUAGCGAGUAGAGUCCAAUACUAUGGAUAUGUCAGUUUGUUGACUUUGUGGAAAAAAAUAUAUAUUUGUGUUUUAUUUACUUAGGAUAGUUUAACGUUUUUUUUUUUAUAUUCCAAUUGCAAUGUCUGAAUAUUUCUAAUAAUCAAAAGUUUGCGUCUUUUUUAAAGGAUCCAAAUAUAUUAUUUUAUAUUAUUACUGUAACUGUUUCUAAUAUCAUUAUUUGACUAAUAAAAAUACUACUACUGCUUUCCCUACUUUUACACCUACUGCUAUUAAUAAUACUGCUAUAAACACUACUUUAAAGUUAUAUUAUGAGAAAUCAUUUUUUUUUCUCUCAUUUACAUGUGUAUAUUUUCUAUGUUUUUCUAUGUUUUUUUUUUAAAACACAUUAUCUGUUGAAAUUCAUUUGUAUUGAUUGAUGAAACAAUAUCUUGUUUUAAAAUGUGUCACAUGGGCUAAACCAAGCACAGACACACGCAGAUCCCAAUCAAACAAUUUAUUAUCAAAUGGGUUAAGGCUUACAGGGGUAGUCAGUGACAGGCAAGGUCAGUAUCAAAACAGCAGCAAUAAUAAACAAUAUACCAGAAAGUGAUGAAGGCAAAAACGGGUCAUAAACAGGGAAAUCCAACAGGUAAA